Molecule: long non-coding RNA, 310 nt
Filed under: Onthophagus taurus
Lineage: Eukaryota; Metazoa; Arthropoda; Insecta; Coleoptera; Scarabaeidae
Description: uncharacterized LOC111425129
Source: RNAcentral
AUGACGUAAACACUUAUGAAGAUCUCCAAUCAAUCUGCUCCUGAUUAAUUAAGUACGAUAAAUCGAUAAUUCACGCCAAGAUGGUGUACAAACCUUAGUUGUUGGUCGGUUUCCACAGAUUCUUUUCGAAAGGUUAUAACUUCCGCAUAAGCGAAUGGUGAUGAUGUUUACCAAAAAUACUCAAAAACACACCACACUACACUGGGAUAGAAUAAUCGCUCAAUAAAUUCCCUUUUUCUAAGAAAAAUGCACCAAUCGUCCACGCACAAACUGGUUUUCCGAGUUCGACGUCACGCCACAUGUUUUCAAA